This 253-nucleotide ribosomal RNA is filed under the name uncultured bacterium. RNAcentral's name for it is "partial 16S ribosomal RNA". It matches the Rfam family "Bacterial small subunit ribosomal RNA", at positions 524 to 776 of the family's 1533-position model. The record is from RNAcentral.
UACGAAGGGGGCGAGCGUUGUUCGGAAUUACUGGGCGUAAAGGGCGCGCAGGCGGCCCUUGAAGUCAGGCGUGAAAGCCCCGGGCUCAACCUGGGAGGUGCGCUUGAUACUCGAGGGCUUGAGUGCGAGAGAGGUGAGUGGAAUUCCCAGUGUAGAGGUGAAAUUCGUAGAUAUUGGGAAGAACACCGGUGGCGAAGGCGGCUCACUGGCUCAUAUCUGACGCUCAGGCGCGACAGCGUGGGGAUCAAACAGG